RNA transcript from Capsicum annuum, 2252 nucleotides. It is a transcript of the gene named 3-oxoacyl-[acyl-carrier-protein] synthase II, chloroplastic, with no coding region annotated. The record is from RefSeq and is a predicted model, not a curated record. Lineage: Eukaryota; Viridiplantae; Streptophyta; Magnoliopsida; Solanales; Solanaceae. The transcript has 14 exons.
UUGUAAAACGAGCCUAUUUUUACACAGUUCCACUGUACACUGAAGUUGACUGUUUGAAAUACACCUCCACUAUAUCUACCAUUUUGCCAUUCAACUGAAUCAAGAUUUCCAUCUUCUUGAUCGAAUUUCACAUCUGGGUCGCUGCUUUUAGCUGAAAAGGGAGAAAAGCUUUGAUAUUCUUGCACAAAUGGUGGCUUCUUGUUUGGCCUCCCCACUGUGUACAUGGCUAGUAGCAGCUUGCAUGUCUGUAUCCAGCAGCGAAAAAGACCAAUUUUGGAAGACGAGUUCGAAUUUUCAGUCUUUGGGUAGGAGAAGAAAAUCGAUUACAAAGUGCAACAGUGGGAGCUUGGUGAAUGGUUCUGGAAUGAACAGUUGUUGGAAUACUUGUUUUGGUUUUGCGCCAUGUGAGGAGUAUUAUAAAUCCCAAGGGUUAUCUGCUUCUUUUUCUUCUUUAUUUGCCGAAAAUCCCUUUUCCGUUUUUGGGUUCAAGCAGGUUCCCUUGAAUCGAAGGCAGAGGAGGAUGCGAGCUGCUGCUCAUUCUGGCAAACUCAUGGCUGUGGCUGUGCAACCUGCAAAGGAUGCCACGGCAAAGAAGAAACCUCUUAUGAAGAACAGGAGAGUUGUUGUGACUGGAGUUGGUGUAGUAUCACCAAUUGGUCAUGAUCCAGACACGUUUUACAGUAAUCUUCUUGAAGGCAUCAGUGGCAUAAGUCAGAUCGAGGCAUUUGACUGUUCUGAAUUUCCCAGUAGAAUUGCUGGGGAAAUCAAGAAAUUUUCGACUGAUGGAUGGGUUGCACCCAAACUUUCAAAAAGAGCAGAUAAGUUCAUGCUCUAUAUGCUUACUGCUGGAAAGAAAGCUUUGGCAGAUGGUGGGAUCACAGAAGAUUUAUUGCAGGACUUAGAUAAGGCUAGAUGUGGCGUUCUAAUUGGCUCUGCCCUUGGGGGGAUGAAGGUCUUCCAUGAUGGCAUUGAGGCUUUACAGGUGUCGUACAAGAAACUGAAUCCUUUCUGUGUACCUUUUGCAACAUCCAAUAUGGGAGCUGCCAUGCUUGCAAUAGAUUUGGGUUGGAUGGGUCCAAGCUACUCAAUCUCCACGGCAUGCGCUACAAGUAACUUCUGUAUAUUAAGUGCUGCAAAUCACAUAAUUAGAGGUGAAACAGAUAUGAUGCUUUGUGGAGGGUCAGACUCGGCAAUUAUUCCUAUAGGCUUGGGAGGUUUCACUGCUUGUGGAGCCCUGUCGCAGAGGAACAGUGAUCCAACAAAGGCUUCACGCCCUUGGGAUAUGGACCGUGAUGGUUUUGUGAUUGGGGAAGGAUCGGGUGUCUUACUCUUAGAAGAACUCGAACAUGCAAAGAAGAGAAAGGCUAAAAUAUAUGCCGAGUUUUUGGGUGGAAGCUUCACUUCUGAUGCUUAUCACAUGAUAGAGCCACAUCCAGAAGGAAGUGGAGUUGUUCUGUGCAUGGAAAAGGCCUUGGCUCAAUCUGGGGUGAAGCGUGAAGAUGUCAACUAUAUAAAUGCUCAUGCUGCAUCAACCCCAGCUGGUGACCUGAACGAAUACCAGGCCAUUCUUCAUUGUUUUGGGGAGAACCCUGAACUUAAAAUAAAUUCAACAAAGUCCAUGACUGGUCACCUCCUUGGAGCUGCUGGUUCUGUGGAAGCCAUCGCAACAGUUAAGGCUUUUAGUUAUUGAAUUGGGCAUUAAGUCAUUAGUAGAGGAUAGUUCAUCUAUACAGUGUAGAAACAACGGAAAAAGAUACAGAUACACAUGCUCAAACUAUGAUGCAGUAACUUUUAAACCAAUAUCUUAAACUAUCUGAAGGUCAAUCCAAAUUUUACGAAAGCUAUACAGACAGGCUGGAUCCAUCCAAACAUCAAUCUUGAGAACCCUGACAAAGGCUUGGAUAUGAAUGUGUUGGUGGGCUCUAAGAAGGAGCGUCUGGAUAUCAAGGUUGCGCUCUCCAACUCAUUUGGCUUUGGAGGACACAACUCGUCUAUUCUAUUUGCACCUUACAAUAAUAAUGUCUAACAUUUACAAAUAUCAAGCUUAAAGAAUGUAAUGUUAUAUCCACGAGGGAGGCACUCGUGGUUGUGUUUAUUUUCAUCGAGGUGCUCCUUGCUAGAUUUCUGCAUGCCAAUGGAAGCCAAAAAACUAACUACUAUUUAUCUUCAGAAUCGAAAGCAGGCAUGUUGAGGAAUUGAUGUGCAUUCACUGGGCAUUUGAGGAUUGUUUCUCAAAAGUAUUUUUUGCAUCA